This is a long non-coding RNA of Mus musculus (house mouse), 276 nucleotides long. RefSeq annotates it as predicted gene, 41006. NCBI's taxonomy places the organism in Eukaryota, Metazoa, Chordata, Mammalia, Rodentia, Muridae. The record is from RefSeq and is a predicted model, not a curated record. The transcript has 2 exons.
UAUUAUAUUUUGUUCAUUUUUGUGUUAAUUCUUUUUGAAAUUAUUUGAACAUUCAGAAACACCAUCCCAUCACUACGGGUUGCAGAAUGGAGAUCACAUGGAUUUGCAGCCUAACUUCUUAGACUGAGGUGCUCACACCAUGACCAUGCUAGCCCGAGUAAGAUGUGGAUCAAGAUGUCUCAGUUGUUCCUGCCACUAUACUAUGUUUGUGCUCCAUCAUCACAGACUCUCACCCUCUGAAAAACUAAGCCCAUUAAAUGCUUUCUUUUAAAAGUA